CUCACAGGCUACUUCUGUGUGAACACACAGGCAUCACAUCUUUCUUCUACUUUCCAGAAAUAUUCCAACAGAUUGCAUGCCCAUCUACAUGACUGGCCACUCAGCUCCUUUGGAUCACAAAUGAGCCUUGAUGCACCGAUGCUUCACUGAACUGCAUAUAUCUGUAUAUACAGAUAUUUUGGGACAGAGA
RNAcentral lists this long non-coding RNA (190 nucleotides) under Anser brachyrhynchus (Pink-footed goose). Its description in RNAcentral is "lncRNA (ENSABRG00000005743.1)". The record is from RNAcentral. Lineage: Eukaryota; Metazoa; Chordata; Aves; Anseriformes; Anatidae.